GUUAUGGGGUGGCUAUGGGGCACAGGGGCGGUUAUGGGGUGGUUGUGGGGCAGUUAUGGGGCACAGGCGGUGGCUAUGGGGCAGUUGUGGGGUUCCUAUGGGGUCGCUAUGGGGCACAGUGGUUCCUAUGGGGUCCCUACAGGGUCUCUGUGGGAUCUCAGUGUGUCCUUAUGGGGUCCUUAUGGGGUCCUUAUGGGGUUUUGUGGGGCCGGCCUGCAGCCAUGGGGGAGCCGAGCGACCUGGGUCCCUAUCGGGUCCCUAUGGGUUCCUAUGGGGUUCUGUGGGUCCUUAUGGGGUUUUAUGGGAUUCUACGGGUCCCUAUGGGUCCCUACGGGUCUAUGGGUCCUUAUGGGGUCGUUAUGGGGUCGUUAUGGGGCCGUUUUGGGGCUGCCCUGCAGCGAUGGGGGAGCCGAGCGACCUGGGUCCCUAUGUGUUUCCUAUGGGUCCCUAUGGGUCCUUAUGGGGGUUCUAUGGGUCCCUAUGGGUCUGUGUGUCCCUAUGGGUCCCUAUGGGUCCUUAUGGGGUCGUUAUGGGGCCGUUUUGGGGCCGCCCUGCAGCCAUGGGGGAGCCGAGCGACCUGGGUUCCUAUGGGGUCCCUAUGGUUUGCUACAGGUUCCUACAGGUUCUAUGGGGUUUUAUGGGGUCCUUAUGGGGUUCUAUGGGUCUGUGGGUCCCUAUGGGUCCUUAUGGGGUCGUUAUGGGGUCGUUAUGGGGCCAUUUUGGGGCCGGCCUG
This 733-nucleotide long non-coding RNA is filed under the name Phasianus colchicus (ring-necked pheasant). RNAcentral describes it as "lncRNA (ENSPCLG00000018876.1)". Lineage: Eukaryota; Metazoa; Chordata; Aves; Galliformes; Phasianidae. The record is from RNAcentral.